UUGGAGAGGUCUGGUCUUAAAAAUCAAUGUCAUGUGGCCUAUGCUUUGGACCAUGGUGCGCAGCUAUGCUCCUUAUGUUACAUUUCCUGUGGCCUUCGUGGUUGGGGCUGUGGGCUACCACCUCGAAUGGUUCAUCAGGGAAAGGAUCCACUUCCUGUGGAAGAAGAAAAAAGAGCAUCUCAGAGCGCCGGGAGGAUCGUAAGCUGGAUGAACUUCUAGGCAAGGACCAUACCCAGGUGGUGAGCCUUAAGGACAAGCUGGAAUUUGCCCCUAAAUCUGUCCUGAACAGAAACCGCCCUGAGAAGAAUUAAUGGAAGACACAGGACCCUAUGGUCAACAGGGCUGUGACUGGUCCUGCCAUGAUGUCAACUCAGCCCCAGAACAUACAUUUGAUUGCUUUUGCUUAUUCUGACCUCUUCUGUACCUCACAGCCUCACAUGUACUGGCUGCACCUUUAUAGCCAGGGAGACACAGGAGCAGCUGAGGGGCCAGCCAGAGAGGAAGGCUGAAUCUAUAGAAUGGGGUCCGACUGCUCAGGCUUCCGAGCUUCUGUUGGUGCACUGUCCCGAGAGUGCUGUAAAUGAACAUGGGCUCUCAGUCUCCUGGGGAGGUGGUUUGGCCUCAAGUGUGGAUGGCUGGGAUUUGGGUAUUCCCUUUAGGAGAGAUACCCAUGUGUCUAGUUCCAGUUUGUACAGGGAAGAAUUCAGAAAUCUACCUGGUUCCCUUGACUAGUUUGCCUUACCCUUUGUGUUCAUUCUUCCUGAAAUCCUCUUGUCAGCUCAGGAAUGGGAUUCCCUGGGGAAGGAAAGCAUUUUCUGUUGUCAGAUAUGCAGGCUGUUCCUGCUGGGGCAGGGAGGAAAUGUGCCUGGUGAAUUUGCUUGGAAACAAUCACCGUCCUCUACCCCUCAUCACUUGAUUAAAGUGGCAUCUGAGAACCAUUUUGAUCGAAUCCUGUCUUCUAGAUGGCAUUUGGGGUAGGCCAGUGAUAGUGGUUAAGGACUCUGGUUGCUGUGAAUCCAGGAGGCGGUGGUUCCCAAGAGCCUUUUUACCAUCAUGAUUAGAGGCAGUAGCUCUUUCAAAGUCUUAACGCUCACAUGUGUGCCACCCUCCUUUUCUCUAUAAGAAAAUAAUAUAUAGGGCCGGGGAUUUAGCUCAGUGCUUUUGCCACCUGCUGCGCAAGCGCAAGGACCUGAGUUCGAUCCCCGGUACCAAAAAAAAAAAAGAAAGAGAAAAUAAUAUAUGCACAUUAAAGGAAAUUUGGUAGGGAUUAGAACAAGGUCACCAACACUUCCAGCACUGUAAUGCAACCACUGUUAGAAUUUUGUUAUCUUUUCACUACUUUUCUGUGUAGUUUUGUUUUUGUUUUUGAACCAGGGUUUUGCUAUGUAGUUCAGGGUGGCCUUGAACUCACUAUGUAGUCCAGACUGGCCUUGAAUUCAUGGUGAUCCUCCUGCCUCAGCCUCCCAAGUGCUAGAAUUAUAGGCAUGUGCCACCAUACUGGGUUUCUGUGUAGUUUUUAAAGACAGUUACACCAUUAUACUUUAAAUUUUAUAUUGCUUUUUCACCUGUUAUUUCUUAAAAUCAUUCAUCUUAUCACAUGGUCAUAAUUGGGGUUUUUUUGUAUAUCCUUUUAUUGGUACAUUUUAGGUGUACAAUAUAAUGACAUUCAUCAUUGGAGAUAUGCACAUUUACAGACUCUCUUGGUUCUUAUAUUCUCAUAUUAAUUCCAUUCCCUUCUUUCCUUUCCCCUCCCCCUCCCCUUUGCCCCUUUUCUUCCUAUUUCACAUUAUCUAUUAUACCUUUUAGUCCUUAUUUACCCUUUCAGUUUCUCACACUAGAGAAACUAUUUGGUAUUUACACAUGUGUGUCCUGUUUAUUUCACUUAAGAGUAUCACCUCAGUGUGCAUCCAUUCAGCAAUACAUGUCUCUAAUUUCUCAUUUUUUAUGGUUGAGUAGCACUCCAUUUUAUAAAAAAACCACAUUUUCUUUAUCCAGUCUCCAGUUGAUGGGCAUUUGGGCUGUUUCCAAGUUUUAGCUUUUACAAACUGUGCUGCUAUGAACAUGGGUGCACAUAUAUCACUGUGGUAUGAUUCUUUUUAAUUCUUUGGGGAAGAUCCCCAGCAGGGGAAUACCUGGGUCAAAUGGGACUUCCAGUCCUAGUUCUUUGAGGUAUCUCCAUACUGAUUUCCAUGGUGGUUGCACCAGUCUAGACUACCACCAGCAGUGGAACAGGGUUCCUCUUUUCCCACAGCUCCUACAGCAUUUGUUGUUGAUUGAUUUCAUGAUAGCAGCCAUUCUUUCUGGAGUGAGGUGGAAUCUCAGUGUUGUUUUCAUUUGCAUCUCUUGGAGGUCAUAAUUGUUUUUAAGUACCUUCUGAAGAAUAUAGCAAAAAUUGAUUUUCAACAGUUUCCUUAUUGCUGAACAUUUGAAUUGUUUCUGAUUGUUCACAAGUUUAAAUACUCCAAGGACUGUUUUAUGUAAGGCUUUUCCUGCAUUUUGGAAUCAGUGGUGGGAACAGUAAAUGGCAUUUGGAUGACAUGGAAUGAACAGUUUUCAGAGUCCAUACAUCGUAGCAAGUGUCUCUCUGAAAGGGUUGCAGGAGUUAAUGCUAAAUGUCACCACUUGAGGUGUUGCUGGUGAGGUAAGGGCAAUGAGCAGAGGGCUGGAAGAGGCAGAAGAACGUGCUGCUCAUGAAGCUGACUCAUUUAACCUAAGUGCACAGGGAAGCAUAGUGAUCACUGAAGAGGGAAUCUGCCUGGAAAAAGGGAGGUUGUUUGCCCUGUCUCCUCUCUCAGGAUCUCUCUCUCCUCUGGGGCCUGAUGGUGUUAAUGGGGGCGGGCAGAACUCCUGAACAGGUCGAGAUGCCAGCUGGGGAGUGGGGCAGUGCUGGGAGGAGGAGGGUGCUCUAAGUGGUGGCCUGAGAAGAAAGGAUUAAGUCCAGUCAGUGGCUUCCCCUCAGUGUCUGUGGCCUAGUGGAGAUGUUGAGCUGAGCUGCUGUUGGUCCUCGGGGAAUAAAUCUGAUGAGAGUGGGGAAAGACUGCUACCUGAGGAAGGUGAGAUUUCUGGUUCCAAAAGGGUCUGCUAAGCUCAGUUUCUGCUUAGGGUUCUGGCUAGUGGCCUCUGCAUUGGUAGACCUGUGCUGCCACCCUGUGGCGGUUUUGAGCAUUACUAGGCCUGGAAUCUUCCCUGGACUAAAUCAGGAAUAACAAUUUUUUUUUUGGUAUAUCGUUUUAUUGGUACAUUUUAGGUGUACACUAUAAUGACAUUCAUCAUUGGAGAUAUGCACCUUUACAUAAUCACUCUUGGUUCUUAUUUUUCACCCUUGCCCAGCC
Molecule: long non-coding RNA, 3332 nt
Filed under: Heterocephalus glaber (naked mole-rat)
Lineage: Eukaryota; Metazoa; Chordata; Mammalia; Rodentia; Bathyergidae
Description: lncRNA (ENSHGLG00000041857.1)
Source: RNAcentral